This 480-nucleotide ribosomal RNA is filed under the name uncultured bacterium. RNAcentral's name for it is "partial 16S ribosomal RNA". It matches the Rfam family "Bacterial small subunit ribosomal RNA", at positions 28 to 523 of the family's 1533-position model. The record is from RNAcentral.
GACGAACGCUGGCGGCGUGCCUAACACAUGCAAGUCGAGCGAAUGAAGUUCCUUCGGGAAUGGAUUUAGCGGCGGACGGGUGAGUAACACGUGGGCAACCUGCCUCAUAGAGGGGAAUAGCCUUCCGAAAGGGAGAUUAAUACCGCAUAAGAUUGUAGUACCGCAUGGUACAGCAAUUAGCGGGGCAAUCCGCUAUGAGAUGGGCCCGCGGCGCAUUAGCUAGUUGGUGAGGUAACGGCUCACCAAGGCGACGAUGCGUAGCCGACCUGAGAGGGUGAUCGGCCACAUUGGGACUGAGACACGGCCCAGACUCCUACGGGAGGCAGCAGUGGGGAAUAUUGCACAAUGGGGGAAACCCUGAUGCAGCAACGCCGCGUGAGUGAUGACGGCCUUCGGGUUGUAAAGCUCUGUCUUCAGGGACGAUAAUGACGGUACCUGAGGAGGAAGCCACGGCUAACUACGUGCCAGCAGCCGCAGUAA